ACUCCUACGGGAGGCAGCAGUGGGGAAUAUUGCACAAUGGGGGAAACCCUGAUGCAGCCAUGCCGCGUGUGUGAAGAAGGCCUUCGGGUUGUAAAGCACUUUCAGUAGGGAGGAAGGUAGUGUAGUUAACACCUGCAUUAUUUGACGUUACCUACAGAAGAAGCACCGGCUAACUCCGUGCCAGCAGCCGCGGUAAUACGGAGGGUGCGAGCGUUAAUCGGAAUUACUGGGCGUAAAGCGCAUGCAGGCGGCCUGUUAAGUCAGAUGUGAAAGCCCGGGGCUUAACCUCGGAAUUGCAUUUGAAACUGGCAGGCUAGAGUCUUGUAGAGGGGUUAGAAUUUCAGGUGUAGCGGUGAAAUGCGUAGAGAUCUGAAGGAAUACCAGUGGCGAAGCGGCCCCCUGGACAAAGACUGACGCUCAGAUGCGAAAGCGUGGGAGCAAACAGGAUUAGAUACCCCUGCUAGACUGUCA
This 471-nucleotide ribosomal RNA is filed under the name uncultured bacterium. RNAcentral describes it as "bacterial SSU rRNA". It matches the Rfam family "Bacterial small subunit ribosomal RNA", at positions 335 to 802 of the family's 1533-position model. The record is from RNAcentral.